Molecule: unclassified non-coding RNA, 89 nt
Filed under: Pseudomonas moraviensis
Lineage: Bacteria; Pseudomonadati; Pseudomonadota; Gammaproteobacteria; Pseudomonadales; Pseudomonadaceae
Source: RNAcentral
UGUAGGAGUGAGCCUGCUCGCGAUGGGGUCGUGUCAGUCAAUGAUUGCUCGUCUGACACACUGCUAUCGCGAGCAGGCUCACUCCUACA